RNAcentral lists this ribosomal RNA (1436 nucleotides) under Ancyrocephalinae gen. sp. 18 IBC-2015. Its description in RNAcentral is "eukaryotic LSU rRNA". It matches the Rfam family "Eukaryotic large subunit ribosomal RNA", at positions 82 to 1239 of the family's 3401-position model. The record is from RNAcentral. Lineage: Eukaryota; Metazoa; Platyhelminthes; Monogenea; Dactylogyridea; Dactylogyridae.
AGUAACGGGGAGGGAAAGGAGAUUAGCCCAACAUCGAAGCCUCUUGAUAAUUAUUGAGAAGGCAAUGUGAUGUUUCGGCAUGCAUCUUAGAUGGUCCGUACAAUCGAAGUCCACUCCGAUUAUGGCUUUGGAUUUGUCCCAUAGAGGGUGAAAGGCCCGUUCGAUUGUACUCUGUUGUUUUUGGAUCGUCUUUUGAUAUGUAUGCUUUGGAGUCGGAUUGCUUGAGAAUGCAGUCCAAAGUGGGUGGUAAACUCCAUCCAAGGCUAAAUACUGGCACGAGUCCGAUAGUAUACAAGUACCGUGAGGGAAAGUUGAAAAGUACUCUGAAGAGAGAGUAAACAGUACGUGAAGCCGACUGAAUGGAAGCUGGCGGAGUCAAGCUUUUAGCAUUUGGAAUUGAUGCAGAGGCCUUAUCUUUCUUAAAGACCGGUUUAAUUGGCUUGAAAAUAACUUGGCGGUUCGCUGCUUUGAGUUAUCCGGGCUGGUGACUUUUGUUGGGCCGGUUUCUUUAGUCUCUUGUAUUAUUUCCUUGUGCAUAAACCAUGGUCAAUGGAAUUGCGGUGCUUUUCAGUCUAACCGAGUUUCAAGUGAGCAUUCGCUUACUUGGCUCGGAACGGGAGGUGGUGGCUUUUUAGCUUUCGCUGAAUAGACACGUAUAAUGGUUUUACCUGCUGACUGGAGUGCUUUAAUUACUGUCAAAUCCAUUGUCUUUAAGACCUGGGUAUCCUUAAUCGGUAGCCCAUGUGAGAGCCAUGGUGUUGAAGUAGACCUUCCUCCGGACCCGUCUUGAAACACGGACCAAGGAGUUUAACUUGCUCGCAAGUCAACGGAUCCAUCGAAAUCCAUUGGCGCAAUGAAAGUGAACGGUUGCUUUUCGUGGCCGUAGGUGUGAUCUUUGCUUAUCCUGAAUCGGGUUGCAGAGCGUAACACCGGCCCGUCUCGUAAUGUAGUCAUGCUGGUCAAGACUGGUGUGCAUCAUUGAGGCGGAGCAAGAGCGAGCAGGUUGAGACCCGAAAGAUGGUGAACUAUGCUUGCGUAGGUUGAAGCCAGAGGAAACUCUGGUGGAGGACCGUCGCGGUUUUGACGUGCAAAUCGAUCGUCAAACGUGAGCAUAGGGGCGAAAGACUAAUCGAACCAUCUAGUAGCUGGUUCCCUCCGAAGUUUCCCUCAGGAUAGCUAGCACUCGUUUGAUACAGUUUUAUCCGGUAAAGCGAAUGAUUAGAGGUAUUGGGGACAAUAUGGCCUCAACCUAUUCUCAAACUAUUAAUGGGUACGAUGCAUGGCUCGCUUAAUUGGAGUUGUGCAUUGAAUGUGAGUGCUAAGUGGGCCAUUUUUGGUAAGCAGAACUGGCGCUGUGGGAUGCUCCGAACGUUAAGAUAAGGUGCCCAACGUUGACGCUCAUGAGAUACCACAAAAGGUGUUAAUGCAUAUAGACA